Molecule: small RNA, 1213 nt
Filed under: uncultured Burkholderia sp.
Lineage: Bacteria; Pseudomonadati; Pseudomonadota; Betaproteobacteria; Burkholderiales; Burkholderiaceae
Description: bacterial SSU rRNA
Rfam family: Bacterial small subunit ribosomal RNA (bases 1-463)
Source: RNAcentral
GUCGUGAGAUGUUGGGUUAAGUCCCGCAACGAGCGCAACCCUUGUCCCUAGUUGCUACGCAAGAGCACUCUAGGGAGACUGCCGGUGACAAACCGGAGGAAGGUGGGGAUGACGUCAAGUCCUCAUGGCCCUUAUGGGUAGGGCUUCACACGUCAUACAAUGGUCGGAACAGAGGGUCGCCAACCCGCGAGGGGGAGCCAAUCCCAGAAAACCGAUCGUAGUCCGGAUCGCACUCUGCAACUCGAGUGCGUGAAGCUGGAAUCGCUAGUAAUCGCGGAUCAGCAUGCCGCGGUGAAUACGUUCCCGGGUCUUGUACACACCGCCCGUCACACCAUGGGAGUGGGUUUUACCAGAAGUGGCUAGUCUAACCGCAAGGAGGACGGUCACCACGGUAGGAUUCAUGACUGGGGUGAAGUCGUAACAAGGUAGCCGUAUCGGAAGGUGCGGCUGGAUCACCUCCUUUCUCGAGCUGACGUGUCCAUCGCGUUGAGCGCUCACGCUUAUCGGCUGUGAAAUCCAGGACAGACUCAGGGGUCUGUAGCUCAGUCGGUUAGAGCACCGUCUUGAUAAGGCGGGGGUCGAUGGUUCGAAUCCAUCCAGACCCACCAAAGUCUUGUCUGUGGUGGCUGCGCUAACUGCAAAACCUCUGGGUAUCGAUACGGAUAGGGAGUUUAUCUGUGCAUGACUGGGGGAUUAGCUCAGCUGGGAGAGCACCUGCUUUGCAAGCAGGGGGUCGUCGGUUCGAUCCCGUCAUCCUCCACCAAUCCUCAAUGCCGGUUUUACUGCGGCGGACCUUGAAAGAGGUUUGCGGUGUAGUGAAACAGGCAUUGGCGAUUGAGCCAGUCAGAGUGAUAUGAAGCAGAGCUUUAUAUCGGCUGUCGUUCUUUAACAAUCAGGAAGAAGUAGUAAAGAGAUUCACGAAAGCAUACUUAGAGAUGGGUGUGUGAGUAGGUGAAUCAGGGUUGUGAUUGUAUCAAUGUAUUUUAAAGGUGAUCGAAAGAUCGCCCUGGAAUACGGCGCAACACGAAUACUCAACCUGUAGCGAUUGUGGCGAGAACGUGAUUCCCAGUGGAUCAUGUAUGAGACACACCCGUUAUAGGGUCAAGCGAACAAGUGCAUGUGGUGGAUGCCUUGGCGAUCACAGGCGAUGAAGGACGCGGUAGCCUGCGAAAAGCGGUGGGGAGCUGGCAAACGAGCUUUGAUCCACCGAUAU